UUUAAAUACAAUCAUAAGUUUCCAUGCUCAACUUUGACCGUUCGUCUUAUUUAAAAUUUUUUAUGAUUAUUAUUUUUUUAUGACAUGAUAAAAUAUGAAUAGUACUUUAUACGUGACAUGUUUUUAAUUUUUUUUUUAAAAAUUUCAAAUAAAAAGGAUGGUCAAAGUUGUGCACAAAAAAUCAUGGCUGCACUUAAA
MicroRNA precursor from Oryza rufipogon (brownbeard rice), 198 nucleotides. It matches the Rfam family "MIR812 microRNA precursor family". The record is from Rfam. NCBI's taxonomy places the organism in Eukaryota, Viridiplantae, Streptophyta, Magnoliopsida, Poales, Poaceae.